GCGCAAGCCUGAUCCAGCCAUGCCGCGUGAGUGAUGAAGGCCUUAGGGUUGUAAAGCUCUUUUGUCCGGGACGAUAAUGACGGUACCGGAAGAAUAAGCCCCGGCUAACUUCGUGCCAGCAGCCGCGGUAAUACGAAGGGGGCUAGCGUUGCUCGGAAUCACUGGGCGUAAAGGGCGCGU
Molecule: ribosomal RNA, 180 nt
Filed under: uncultured bacterium
Lineage: Bacteria
Description: partial 16S ribosomal RNA
Rfam family: Bacterial small subunit ribosomal RNA
Source: RNAcentral